This 518-nucleotide long non-coding RNA is filed under the name Homo sapiens (human). Its description in RNAcentral is "HSALNT0085112". The record is from RNAcentral. Lineage: Eukaryota; Metazoa; Chordata; Mammalia; Primates; Hominidae.
GUUUGGGAGAUUAAUUGGACACGAUCAACAGGGAAAGCACUUGUGUUGUGUUUUUAUGAGAAUUAUGCCAAGAUAGGUAACAGAUGAGGAUGAAAUUUGGGCUUGACUGAAGUAAUGGAGGCUGUCUGUGAAACCUUGCAGCAGAACAACCCAGGAACCUGUGACUUCAAGAAGGGGACCCUUUUGGAAGGGAAGCACUGACUGAAGAAGACGUUCCCAUAGUCCUCCAGAAGAGACAAAGAACUCUGGAAACAGUGAGUAGCAGUCCUGAGCAACAUAGGAACUCUCCCAUCCCCAGGAUGGAAAUAUACAUGAUCAACUUAAGAGGAAGCAAGCGGUUGGGUCCUGCUGCAGAUAGGAAUUGUAUAGCAAUUGCCUAUUGACUCUGAUGUCUGAAACUGAGGCUUCAGUGUGGCAAAAAAGCCAGGAGGACUGAUAAGAGAGAAAAUGGAAGGAAGGGAAAGAAUGUAAUUAAGAACAUAGUUUAUCCCUGAUUUCAAUGGAAAUUAAGAAAAAAA